RNAcentral lists this long non-coding RNA (581 nucleotides) under Gallus gallus (chicken). Its description in RNAcentral is "long non-coding RNA NONGGAT002802". The record is from RNAcentral. Lineage: Eukaryota; Metazoa; Chordata; Aves; Galliformes; Phasianidae.
CACAAACAAAACAGUGUUGUUACCUUCUGCUAUUGUAAAAUUGUUUUUCUGUACCUUGUUAGCAGUGUCAAUCUGUUGAGGAUAAGAACUGUUUUAGGUAAUCCACAGUUACAUUCAAACGCACAUAUAAAUAGUCCUCCAGUGUAUCACAUGUCCCUGUAAAACAUUGUGCAAUCCAAACGAACAGUGGUCCUUUAUGUAAUGCCUUUCUUUCUUUAUAACUAGUGUUAAUAAAUAAGCUUUAGCCUUUGUCUUUGCUUAUAGACAUCAAGAAUCUGAUUUCAAGCCAGGGCUCACACAGACUUGAUGUAAAGUCUAAAUGAGGAGAGUGGUAAUGCUGGCGAAUGCGCUGCGAUGGGACCGCCACCUGUCUGGAUUGCAGGAGAAAUAUUGUUUGUCAAGCUUCAAGUUUAAAUCCAAGUUGAGUCAUUUGGCUGGUUUAUGUCUCCUGUGUAGAGGUGUAGCUUCACAAAAUGCCUACUGCCUGCAGGAAGAACUCCCUCCGAACAGAUUCUCUACCUGAGCAUCAGGGAAGGAAAUAAAUCUGGAACUGGUGACAUUUCAAGGACAAGGAAAACAAC